RNAcentral lists this long non-coding RNA (998 nucleotides) under Homo sapiens (human). RNAcentral's name for it is "non-protein coding lnc-CNPY1-3:4". Lineage: Eukaryota; Metazoa; Chordata; Mammalia; Primates; Hominidae. The record is from RNAcentral.
CUGACUUUAAUUCCAGUUGCAGUGUGUGUGGCAGAAUGUGGCCCGUGAGUCAGAGGUUCUGAGUUCCGGUUGUGACUUGGCCACUCAAUUCGUGACCUGGAAUAAGUCAUACACUUCGUUGAACUACAGUUUCCUUAAAAGUCAGUAGACAGUUUAAAAAGUCAUCAGAUAAUGUUUAGGACCAUUUCCACCUCCAGGAAUUGGAUACUCAUUCUGGGCUUUGGAUAUUUUAACCAUUUUUACAAAAAGGUAUGAGGUAUACAGUUUUAUUGCAUAAAGUCUUUGAAGAAUUAUCUAAGUAAAACCAUUUCCCUUGAAAGCAUAUUGAGGAAAUUUGAAUAAGGCUGGAAAUAUUUUCAUAAUCUUGUGCUUGCGUAGGAAACACACUAAGUCCUUUUGUGCGGAACUUAACAUCUGUGGCAGCUAGAUUCCCUCACUAGCUUACCCGCUCCCCACCCUCUUCGUGGAAUUGUUGUAACCAUAGAAAGUAAAUCCAGGUACAAAGCACUGGCUCCGCCUUCAAGCACCUUUGGGAAGUGGUUUCAUCUCCAGUGCCUCAGUGCUCCCGUGAUUGAGUAAAGGGAGAAAGGAGUCAUCCCCAGCUCACAGAACAGUCCUGCGGCCCGGGGAGGCAGUGCCUGCAGACAGCCUGGAGACCCCGGAACCUGCUCGGCCCUCCCCUCCUGCUAGCUUUCUGCAGUUCCCCAUCCCCCAUUCUGCCUUCUCUCAAGUGAUACCAGCUGAACCAGAAGCCAAUGGCAGCUUGAAACAGCAGCUUGCUCCUGUAUCUGAGGAUUCUGUGGUCCCGAAUCAGCACGUGUCACAGAUGUUUGGAGGAGACCGAGAGUGUGCUGUCGGCACGCAUCGUCCGUGAAGCAAUGGGGCAGAGUUCAUCCCUUACUUCAACCUAUGCAUCGCUGUUUUGUGCAUCGUCAUAAAAACAACACAUUCCAAAUGCACUGUCAUGGGCUUGGAAGGAAAAUAAUAAAGAAAACAAA